Molecule: ribosomal RNA, 1927 nt
Filed under: human gut metagenome
Description: bacterial LSU rRNA
Rfam family: Bacterial large subunit ribosomal RNA
Source: RNAcentral
UCAAGUGACUAAGUGCAUGCGGCGGAUGCCUUGGCGAUCACAGGCGAAGAAAGACGCGGCAGCCUGCGAAAAGCUGCGGGGAGCUGGCAAACGAGCUUUGAUCCGCAGAUAUCUGAAUGGGGGAACCCACACCGCAAGGUGUAUCCGUAGCUGAAUACAUAGGUUACGGAGGCGAACGAGGAGAACUGAAACAUCUAAGUAUCCUCAGGAAAAGAAAUCAACCGAGAUUCCGGCAGUAGCGGCGAGCGAACCCGGAGGAGCCCAGCUUUUGAUAGUACGAACUUUAGCCGAAAGGUCCUGGAAAGGCCUGCUAUAGUGGGUGAUAGCCCCGUAGGCGAAAAAGUUUGUGCGGUACUAAGGAAGCGAGAAGUAGAGCGGGACACGUGGAAUCCUGUUCGAAGACGGGGGGACCAUCCUCCAAGGCUAAAUACUCGUGAUCGACCGAUAGUGAACCAGUACCGUGAGGGAAAGGCGAAAAGAACCCCGGGAGGGGAGUGAAAUAGAACCUGAAACCGCAUGCAUACAAACAGUAGGAGCCUCGUCAGAGGUGACUGCGUACCUUUUGCAUAAUGGGUCAGCGACUUACAUUCUGUGGCGAGCUUAACCGAAUAGGGGAGGCGCAGCGAAAGCGAGUUCGAAAUGAGCGUCCAGUCGCAGGGUGUAGACCCGAAACCAGAUGAGCUAUCCAUGGCCAGGUUGAAGGUGUGGUAACACACACUGGAGGACCGAACCGACUAGUGUUGCAAAAUUAGCGGAUGAGCUGUGGAUAGGGGUGAAAGGCCAAACAAAUCUGGAGAUAGCUGGUUCUCCCCGAAAACUAUUGAGGUAGUGCCUCGUGUGUCGCUCCAGGGGGUAGAGCACUGUUUUGGCUAGGGGGACAUGGAGUCUUACCAAACCAAGGCAAACUCCGAAUACCUGGAAGCGUGAGCACGGGAGACAGAGCACCGGGUGCUAACGUCCGGACUCAAAAGGGAAACAACCCAGACCGCCGGCUAAGGUCCCAAAUAACAGCUAAGUGGAAAACGAAGUGGAAAGGCCGUGACAACCAGGAAGUUGGCUUAGAAGCAGCCAUCCUUCAAAGAAAGCGUAAUAGCUCACUGGUCGAGUCCUUCUGCGCGGAAGAUGUAACGGGGCUAAGCUGUUAACCGAAGCCGCGGAUGCGCUGGUUAUCCAGUGCGUGGUAGGGGAGCGUUCUGUAAGUCUGCGAAGGCGGUUCGAGAGGACUGCUGGAGAUAUCAGAAGUGCGAAUGCUGACAUGAGUAACGUUAAAGCAGGUGAAAAGCCUGCUCGCCGUAAGCCCAAGGAUUCCUGCUCUACGUUCAUCGGAGCAGGGUGAGUCGGCUCCUAAGGUCAGGCCGAAAGGCGUAGCCGAUGGGAAUCAGGUUAAUAUUCCUGAACCUGCGUCAGAUGCGAUGGGGGGACGGAGCAUGGAAGAUCAUCCGGGUGUUGGAAGUCCCGGUUGUUUAGCGUAGGAGGUCUGCAGGCAAAUCCGCAGACGCAUCUCCAAGGCAAAGACACGUGCCGCCACGGCGGCGAAGUGAUCGGAAGUGCUUCCAAGAAAAGCCUCUAAGCACCAGUCUGAUGCGGACCGUACCGCAAACCGACACUGGUGGGCGAGCUGAAUAUGCUCAGGCGCUUGAGAGAACUCGGGAGAAGGAACUCGGCAAAUUGACACCGUAACUUCGGAAGAAGGUGUGCCGUAGUACCGUGAGAGGAGAGACACCUUGAGCGGGAAACGGUCUCAGAGAAUAGGUGGCUGCGACUGUUUAUUAAAAACACAGCACUCUGCAAAGUCGAAAGACGACGUAUAGGGUGUGAUGCCUGCCCGGUGCUGGAAGAUUAAUUGAUGGGGUGAGAGCCCUUGAUCGAAGUCCCAGUAAACGGCGGCCGUAACUAUAACGGUCCUAAGGUAGCGAAAUUCCUUGUC